CACUACUCUUGUGACCGGAAUAAACUUGUCAAACGUUGAUGUAAAGCGAAGGCAGCGCUCCUCCCUUGGCGAUAGUUUUUUGUGGUCUACGAGAUAUCGACCUAUACAGUGCAAUUGCAAUUUAUCGAUAUCUGUUCGUUAGUCUCUAAACUGUUGAGUUAUGCACAUUAAAUCGAGCCACGACGUCAGCAACACUCUUUGUGCCGUCAACCAUUCCAAGACCUUUCUGACAGUCAUUUUCGGGGAUGCCUGGUUGACGCCUAAUGCAAUUUUUU
This 275-nucleotide long non-coding RNA is filed under the name Mytilus galloprovincialis (Mediterranean mussel). The record is from RNAcentral. Lineage: Eukaryota; Metazoa; Mollusca; Bivalvia; Mytilida; Mytilidae.